GAUACAUUCAGAAAGAGGGAGGCCGGCAAGCAGGAGCACCAUGCCUCUAUUUAUUGUUCCUGCUUCACCUUCCCAGCAGCAAAAGCAGAAAGAAGGGGUUCCUGGGGCCUGGGCUUUCUUUCCAGUGUCCCUUCCUUGGCCCGGACUGCUUCCCAGAUUUGAUGCCUCAGUCUCAGCAGCAAAACAUGAAGAGAAGGAUGGCAGGGGAUGAAGUAUCGCUGAGUGACUCAUGGAUGUGCCCAUCCUCAAUGAAGAUCAAUAAGUGCCACGAUGACACCUGCACUCCAGGCAAGUUGUGAAUUCCAGUGAGGAGGCAGUGGAGGCAGUGAAGGAGCCUGAAGCCAAAGGGAUCAUCUUCCCCAUGCCAGGACCCAGUUACUUAGGUAAGUUGCAAGGCCAGACAGUUUGCAUGAGACAAAGGUGGUUAUUGGGGCACUUUGUACUUCUCAGAGCAAUGUGCAUAGUACUAAUGAUGGCCAUGCUUUCAGUUCUGCAGCAGAACAGCAUACUGAGGGAGAACUAGAAGGUUUUGAGUCCCACACAUUGAUGUGUAGCCACACUGGUGGUAAGUCAACACUGUUAAUGCAAUGGCCUGCCUCCCUUCCAAGGAAAGCCAUUCCCUUGUACCACCUCCACCACACAAGAUUAUCUUUCCUCCCAAAAGCACCAGAAUCCCUGGAUAUUUGUAGAACCUUCACCUAUGUCGACUGAAUGUCAAAAAUGAGGAAAAAAUAACAGAAUUUUUGUAUGCUACUCUGUCUUGAAACUGGGUUUCAAUACAGUUCUUGAAAUAGGAGGUGUUAUAGCGACAAUGUGGCACUGCCAAAAUCUCUCAAAAUCUUUCACUUCUUUUCACUGUGUGUCACCACCAACACCAAUAUGUUACGGUGUGGUGACUCUCACCAGCUCCAACUACAUUUCUCUGAUGGUCGCACAAUGGGUCUUUUAGAUCCCACCGCGGCCACCAAUUAUGUGAUGAGACCCUCAAACUUGGAUCUGUCCUCAUAGUGUCUCCUGCACUGGAAACCAUGUCCUAUGAGGAAUGACUUAGGGAGCUGGGGAUGUUUAGCCUGGAGAGGAGAAGGUUAAGAGGUGAUAUGAUAGCUCUGUUUAAAUACUUGAAGGGAUGUCAU
This is a long non-coding RNA of Sceloporus undulatus (fence lizard), 1133 nucleotides long. RefSeq lists it as uncharacterized. NCBI's taxonomy places the organism in Eukaryota, Metazoa, Chordata, Lepidosauria, Squamata, Phrynosomatidae. The record is from RefSeq and is a predicted model, not a curated record. The transcript has 3 exons.